ACGGCGGGUGCUAUACAUGCAAGUCGAGCGAACAGAGAAGGAGCUUGCUCCUUUGACGUUAGCGGCGGACGGGUGAGUAACACGUGGGCAACCUACCUUAUAGUUUGGGAUAACUCCGGGAAACCGGGGCUAAUACCGAAUAAUCUAUUUCACUUCAUGGUGAAAUACUGAAAGACGGCAUCUCGCUGUCGCUAUAAGAUGGGCCCGCGGCGCAUUAGCUAGUUGGUGAGGUAACGGCUCACCAAGGCGACGAUGCGUAGCCGACCUGAGAGGGUGAUCGGCCACACUGGGACUGAGACACGGCCCAAACUCCUACGGGAGGCAGCAGUAGGGAAUCUUCCACAAUGGGCGAAAGCCUGAUGGAGCAACGCCGCGUGAGUGAAGAAGGUUUUCGGAUCGUAAAACUCUGUUGUAAGGGAAGAACAAGUACAGUAGUAACUGGCUGUACCUUGACGGUACCUUAUUAGAAAGCCACGGCUAACUACGUGCCAGCAGCCGCGGUAAUACGUAGGUGGCAAGCGUUGUCCGGAAUUAUUGGGCGUAAAGCGCGCGCAGGCGGUCCUUUAAGUCUGAUGUGAAAGCCCACGGCUCAACCGUGGAGGGUCAUUGGAAACUGGGGGACUUGAGUGCAGAAGAGGAAAGUGGAAUUCCAAGUGUAGCGGUGAAAUGCGUAGAGAUUUGGAGGAACACCAGUGGCGAAGGCGACUUUCUGGUCUGUAACUGACGCUGAGGCGCGAAAGCGUGGGGAGCAAACAGGAUUAGAUACCCUGGUAGUCCACGCCGUAAACGAUGAGUGCUAAGUGUUAGGGGGUUUCCGCCCCUUAGUGCUGCAGCUAACGCAUUAAGCACUCCGCCUGGGGAGUACGGUCGCAAGACUGAAACUCAAAGGAAUUGACGGGGGCCCGCACAAGCGGUGGAGCAUGUGUUUAUUCGAAGCACGCGAGACUUACCAGGUCUUGACAUCCCGUUGACCACUGUAGAGAUAUGGUUUUCCCUCGGGGACAACGGUGACAGGUGGGUGCAUGGGUGGUCGUCAGCUC
This 1040-nucleotide ribosomal RNA is filed under the name Lysinibacillus sphaericus. RNAcentral describes it as "bacterial SSU rRNA". It matches the Rfam family "Bacterial small subunit ribosomal RNA", at positions 39 to 1061 of the family's 1533-position model. The record is from RNAcentral. Lineage: Bacteria; Bacillati; Bacillota; Bacilli; Caryophanales; Bacillaceae.